RNAcentral lists this ribosomal RNA (606 nucleotides) under Paraphaeosphaeria neglecta. RNAcentral's name for it is "eukaryotic LSU rRNA". The stretch from base 257 to 410 matches the Rfam family "5.8S ribosomal RNA". Lineage: Eukaryota; Fungi; Ascomycota; Dothideomycetes; Pleosporales; Didymosphaeriaceae. The record is from RNAcentral.
UGGAAGUAAAAAGUCGUAACAAGGUUUCCGUAGGUGAACCUGCGGAAGGAUCAUUAUCCAUCUCAAACCAGGUGCGGUCGCGGCCCCCGGGGGCUUGCUCCCGGGUGGUAGGGGUAACACCCUCACGCGCCGCCUGCCUGUACCCUCUUUUUACGAGCACCUUUCGUUCUCCUUCGGCGGGGCAACCUGCCGCUGGAACCAAAACAAAACCUUUUUUGCAUCUAGCAUUACCUGUUCUGAUACAAAUAAUCGUUACAACUUUCAACAAUGGAUCUCUUGGCUCUGGCAUCGAUGAAGAACGCAGCGAAAUGCGAUAAGUAGUGUGAAUUGCAGAAUUCAGUGAAUCAUCGAAUCUUUGAACGCACAUUGCGCCCCUUGGUAUUCCAUGGGGCAUGCCUGUUCGAGCGUCAUCUACACCCUCAAGCUCUGCUUGGUGUUGGGCGUCUGUCCCGCCUCUGCGCGCGGACUCGCCCCAAAUUCAUUGGCAGCGGUCUUUGCCUCCUCUCGCGCAGCACAAUUGCGUCUGCGGGGGGGCGUGGCCCGCGUCCACGAAGCAACAUUACCGUCUUUGACCUCGGAUCAGGUAGGGAUACCCGCUGAACUUAA